UAGUGUUACAGCUCUUUUAGAAUGUGUCUAGCAGGUUUUUCAGGAAAACCCCU
Small nuclear RNA from Callithrix jacchus (white-tufted-ear marmoset), 53 nucleotides. Its record names the gene U7. It matches the Rfam family "U7 small nuclear RNA". Rfam says of the family: Animal histone pre-mRNAs are spliced by a different mechanism than nuclear pre-mRNAs and self-splicing introns. This processing involves the U7 snRNP, which contains only one RNA species: U7. Lineage: Eukaryota; Metazoa; Chordata; Mammalia; Primates; Cebidae. The record is from Ensembl.